CUCACCUUUGAACAGACAGGAACACGUGUUUGUGUGUAUAUGUGCGGCAUGAGUUCUGCCCCCUUCAUCGUAGAAAACCUGAAGGCUGCUGUGUGACUCUUCUGCAGUGAAGAUCUGGUCAGUGUAGAGUGGUUUGGUGGUGAGUUACACUCACAUGGGCGACGACACUGUAAGACAAAGAGAGAUGAUUAUUAGUAGUACUUUAGAAACAGGCAAGUACGAUGAAUGAUUUCUAAUCUACAUUAAGAGGCAAAAAGAAGGCAAAUACGGUUCUGGACAGGCGUAAACAAAUAAUUUUUCAUAUUAAAAAGACUGGAUACCAAAAAAAAAAAACCACAAAAAAAAAAAAACAGAAAGAAAGAAAAUUCUGUCAUCAUUUACUUAUGUCGACCAUUAAAAUAGAGGCAGAAUGUUUGAGCUGUUACCUUCAACACUGUGAAAGUGAAUGGGAAUCAGGGGCUGUGAAGCUCUAAAGCAUUUCAAGUCUGAUGAAGCUGAAGAAGUUAUUAAUUUUUAUAUUUUAUUUUUUAAAAAGUCAGAAUCUUGCUUUGAAAAUCUUGCUUGACAGUUGUGGUCACCAUUCACUUUCAUUGUACAAAAAAAAGAAGCUUGGACUUUCUGCUAUAAAUAACUCCUUUUGUGUUUCAAAAGAGCCACAUGGUUUCCAAAGACAUGAUGGUAGAAUAUUCAUUUUGGGUGAACUGGUCUCUAAAUAAACAAGUUGAAUAUUAAUAUUAACAAUUAAUAUUAUUUACAUUUUUUUAAUAUGCAAUUAUUUUUUCUUUAUCCCUUUGUUUUACUUUUAUCUCACCACUAAGCACAUUGGUCUAGUGAUUAAAAAUCUUUUAAAAAUCAGAUUUAAACACACCUUUUUUUUUUUUUUUUAAGAAAUGUAAUUUGUGUUGACUCCAUAGAAUAAUCUUUUGUUCCAAAAAAGUAAUAAUUCUGAAAAUGUAGUACAAUAAUUAAGUACUAAAGAACUACAACACGGUCCUUGCAUCACAAAUACAUAGAAGUGUCUUUUUUUUUUCUUUUUUUUUUUUUUUACAAAUGAAUGUUUGAUAAUCACAGUGAUGAGGGUCUAUAUGUGUUCUCCCUGCUUUAUAUCUUUCUUGUCACAUUACAAUAAAAUAGCAUGUUUGGUGAUGCCACACCAACUUUUCACACAAGUUUUCCAAAUUUUUCAGCCUUUAAAUGAAACAACAAAGUGGUAAAACAUGUCAAAUCAUGGUGGUGUAAUGCUGUAAUGUUUUGCAUGAAUUGCAAUUGAAUAACUUUUUUAGAUUGAGACAAAAAUGAGAGUCACAUCACUGACCCUUGUAACACAUGAGUGGGAGACAGAAAUGGAGGGGGGUGAUAAUUGGAAACCCAAGGGGGCAGAAACGAGCCCCCGAUAAAAGGAGGAAAAGAAACUCUGGGGAAGAAACGGCCGUUACUAAGGGUGAGUCCUGCACCUGUGUCAAACUCAUUCUGACAAAAAGGCAUGAAUGAGCAUCAGAGAACUUUCCUUUAUACACACACACACACACACACACACACACACACACACACACACACACACACACACACACA
Molecule: long non-coding RNA, 1572 nt
Organism: Ctenopharyngodon idella (grass carp)
Lineage: Eukaryota; Metazoa; Chordata; Actinopteri; Cypriniformes; Xenocyprididae
Exons: 2
Source: RefSeq, a predicted model, not a curated record